This 286-nucleotide small RNA is filed under the name Mustela putorius furo (domestic ferret). RNAcentral's name for it is "7SK RNA (ENSMPUG00000020778.1)". The record is from RNAcentral. Lineage: Eukaryota; Metazoa; Chordata; Mammalia; Carnivora; Mustelidae.
GAACAGAGCUGGUUGUAACAUCUGUCACCCCUUUGGGUGCCAGGAUUGAUCCCACUGAUCUGACAGACGGCAGCGGAUCCCUUCCUCCCUUUUGUCCCAUGUACCUUCUUCCUGUCGUUGGGGGUGUAGCUGUAAAGGGCAACCAGCCUACCUAGAGAAGGACCACCUUUGGUCAAGGGUAUACACCUCUCUGUUUGUCAUUGUAUUGGCAGUCUGUAAUGUUUCUUGACUGAUGAGAUUUUAUGGGCGACAAAAAUGGCUAAUGCUUGUAUGUAACAGUAGAAUU